GACGGAGGAUGCAAGUGUUAUCCGGAAUCACUGGGCGUAAAGCGUCUGUAGGCGGUUUAAUAAGUCAACUGUUAAAUCUUGAGGCUCAACCUCAAAAUCGCAGUCGAAACUAUUAGACUAGAGUAUAGUAGGGGUAAAGGGAAUUUCCAGUGGAGCGGUGAAAUGCGUAGAGAUUGGAAAGAACACCGAUGGCGAAGGCACUUUACUGGGCUAUUACUAACACUCAGAGACGAAAGCUAGGGUAGCAAAUGGG
This 253-nucleotide ribosomal RNA is filed under the name uncultured bacterium. Its description in RNAcentral is "partial 16S ribosomal RNA". It matches the Rfam family "Bacterial small subunit ribosomal RNA", at positions 524 to 776 of the family's 1533-position model. The record is from RNAcentral.